UCUAAAAUGAUGUAUCUCCCUAUUUGUAUAUAUGUAGGCGUGUAAAUCUACAGGAAAAGUCCUGGAAGGACACAGGCUUGGUAGCUCAGUACCCAGGCCACAGUAGCUCCUGGCUUCCUGGAAAGCCUCCAGGAGAAGAAGGGAUUCGGUAGGGAACUUUCAAUUCUAGUAUUUUAAAAUAAAGAUUCUGCAUUCCUUUACUGCUGGAAUAUUUCAAAACAGGUAGAGUGUAUUUCUUUUUUUCCAAAUGUGAACUUUGUCUACUAUUGCCUGAUGGUCCCAGAGCUACCAGAAUCACAAGAUCCACAUGCAGAAUUAGUCCACCAGACAGCUUAGUUUCACCAUCUGGUGAGAAGGGAACCAAUGACGGGAUGUCCCUCAAAGGCCCCAAGAUUCCCUCAUUCAACUGUGGAGGAAGCCACCACCAGUGCAGUUGUGGAACAGUGUGUGUGGUGGGUAGGGGAGAGGGCAGUGGCAUGUGAGGGCAGAAAGGUUCUCUCCCUGACCCAUCGGCCCACCCACUCAGACUCCAGAUGAGGACAAGGAGCCUAAGGAUGCGGUGGUAGAAGGAGAUGGACAGCAGCCCAGUUAAAGAACCUCCCAAGAGUCCCAGGCAGGAUUAACCAGGAAAUUAAUUAGCACUGAAUCCAUGCUCAGACUGAGGCCACCUCUCCAGUCAACUGCUCCCCAGUGCACAGGCUGCCUUGGAAUGGAGGGAACCCCCACAUCAGGUGAAAGGCCAUAAUCCCCACUUGGUAAGAAUGCAGUAGGGGUGGCUAUAGUCAGAUAUUCCUAGGUUCUAAUCCUGGCUCAGACCCUUCCUGGCUGGGUAGUUGUGGGCAAGUUCUUCAACCUUCCUGUGCCUCAAGCCCCUCAUCUGUAAAGUGGGAACAGGAUGCAAAGCCCACAAGAUUCUUGUGAUGAUGAAAUGAAAACACAAAUAAAUUAGAGUGGCUCUCUUGAAGGUGAGUGUCAGGAAAUGGUCACUACUUUUGGUCCAUUAGUAUUAUUGUUAUUCAUAGCUGAAGAUGCUACCCUUGAGAGUCUCAGAAAUCUUCCCAGGAAUUAGGCUAGGAAGACACUCCUUACCUAGGCGGCUGUUCUGACAGUCAAGCCAGAUGAUCUCUGACUGUGUAGCAGCUUUGUGCCCUGUGAAGCAGGACCCUCCCCCAAGUGCUGCUCUCCAGAGGCCACGCCUGCACUCCAGGCUGCCUGGCCAUAUCCAUGCUUCAGAGCCUGGUGGGGCCUAUGAUAAGCUCCACUGGACAAAGGGGGUAACUGGGUCUCUGAUGAGCAAGGGACUUUGCAGGCCAUGCUAGAAUCUCUACUGUAGGAUGAAAGUGGUCCCUAAUAACUAACCACCUCUGGCUGUUCCCUGACACCCCUCGGGGUGGGGGGAAUAAGGACGGUUCAUACCAAACACUCCCAGAACCCAGGGCAGACAGGUGUACACACGCCCCUCAAAAACACACUUUGCCUAAGCCAGCCAGCAGAAACAUAUCCAGGGCAGAGACAGGCACACACAUUAAGUGACACACACCUUGCCCUCCAUGGGCCUGCCUGCCCGCUCACACACACACCAAGCUCUCCAAGCUAUCACACUAAGGAGUGCACCACUGAUACCCACAGGCCACACUCACAGUCUGACGCACACACCCUCCCCCAACCGGGCAGAAGGCAGUCGGCAGAAGGCCCCGCCCUCCGCAGCCAGGCUCCUCCCGUGGGAGCGGAAGCCGCGGCUGGUGGCCUCAGAGCCGAGGGUUCAGCGGAAACCGAGGGGCGGCGGGGGGCUGGGAGCGAGGGAGGCAAAGGGAAAGAGGCUAGGGCCCAGGGGUGGGAGAAGGGGCGAACCUCGACCCUUGUCCCCCACACCCCAGCGUCUGCAGGCACAACACAGAACAUCCCCGGGAACAAAAUACCCAAGCGCACAGUACAACCCGCAGAGCCUCAGCCGCAUCGCCGGACGCACACCUGCAUCCCGCGUUCCGCAUCCUCGCUCGCACUCUCCCUGCACACGCCUUCGGCCUCCGGGGCACCCCAGCCUUGUUCCCGCCAUGUCCCCCGCACCGCCGACACCUGUCACCAGACAGUACACCCUGUCAUUGCACAGCUCCACUUGGUAUACCACAGCCGAAGAGAAGUUCCAUGAACUCAGGACCCAGCUGGUUUUCACUCUUGCCAUUGCAUCCCCUAGCAGAUCUUGGCACAAUAUAGACUCCAUACCUGUUCAGUGAAGGGAGAAGGAGCCAACUGAAGUGUGGAUGUGGCUGUCCCAGACACCAGCAUGCAACUCCACCCAUGGUUGGCAGAGACAUUCAUAGAGAACAAAGAGGAAUGGGAUAGAUAAUUUAAAAAAAAAACUUUUCUGUGAAAUCCCAGAGUUUUAAAAACCCUGACGGAAUGCUGGGUCAUCAAUUCAUGAACUGCAGUUUGAAACUCAAGAGAAGCACAAGGCAGAGACGAGAGACCAGAACGGGAGACAUGUGCACCGGGAGAAAAGGACAAGUGUCAGUCAUUUUAGCAGCAAUGGCACAGCUGAUGGAAUUGGGGAAUAUUCAGAUUGGGAAAAGGAAGGGGAAGGGGAUUGGAUGGGGGAAGGGAUUUUGUCUGGGUAGUGGGUCCCAUCUGGCAACUCUGAAAUCACACCCCAUUGGCAUAUUUCUGCAUCUCCUGGAGUAUAAUCCUUACCCCACAACUCUGAAACUCGUUGGAUUUUUUCCUGGGAUGGGUGACAUAUACUUUAUCAUGAAAGGGGACACUCUUAAUAAUUAUGCUGGAACAACAGAAAUAAAUUGAGAUUGUUUGGAUAAACUGGCAAGUAAGUCAUCUUCAUCUUAUUGGCUAAAUAUAGUAUACUCUACAGAGGACUCACAAGCUAAGCAUGGAAGUACUGGGCCUUUAAACAAUCAAAAUGUCCAGGAUUUGAAGGCAACUUUGUUCAUUGUUAUGAAUCUUUGUGAAUUACUUCAACUCAUUUUCCUCAGUUUCCUCAUCUGCAAAUGGGAGAGCAUAAUAGUUCAGGAUGUGGAACAUGGUAAAGAUUCAGUGAGCGGUGGCUACAGCAAGAAGACAACAAAAAUAUUCUACUUGUGUCUUCUCUUUUUUUAAAAAGCACAAAAAGGCAAAACUAUAGAGACAUCAAAAAGGUCUGUAGUUGUCAGGGUUUAGUAGGGAGAGGGUUGAAUAAACCCUCUUAAAGAGGUGAAGUACAGGAAUUUUUUAAGGCAGUGAAACUCUUCUGUGCAAUACUGUGAUGGUGGAUACCAGGCAUAACAUUUGUCAAAGCCCAUAGGACUGUACAACACACAGAGUGUACCUUAAUGCAUAAAAAAUUUUUAAAAAUAAUUUAGAACAUCUGGUGAAUCCCAAGAUGGAAUGCAGAAUGUGACAAAACCAUCAAACUGUAUUACAAAGUUGGGAAGUCUUCAAAGAACCAACACCCCAGUAGGAAUGAGCACACGAUGCCCAAAUCUUGGUUUCUAAUACCAUUUUCCAGUAGGAAAAAUCAGGCCUUCUGAGAAAUGGCUGAUUCUGGGACGGGAACAGGAAAUAUACAAGAUCUCUCCGCUGGUAACGUUUUGGAUGUGAUCGAACACAAAGCCUAGCACCGCAUAGGAACUCAGUACUUAAUGGAUGGGAGAAAGAAAAGAAGGGAGGAAGAGAAGGAGACUGGAGGACGAUCCAUCAUGCGGGCAACGUGGCGUGAGACAGAAUGCCCGCCCUGUUGACUUGAAAGGCCACAGACAGACCCCUAGAGCUGACGGGGUAGGACAGCCUUAGAUGUGGGGGUCUGAAGGGGAAAGGGGUCGCCGGUGCCCUGGAGGAAGGGAAGAAGCCGCUAACAAGAUCGUGACUCUGGGUAUCUGGGAGACCUGACUCUGCAGUAAGACGCUCUGGUUCCCAUUCCUGCCGGCUGUGUCACUGCUUCCACUCUCCAGAUCCCAGUGUCUUUGUGUUUGGGGAGUAACAAACAGUACCUACUUCAUUGAGCUGGUGUCAGAACUGCGUUGGGAUAGUGCAUGUCAAGUUCUUAAUACAAUGCCUGCAACAGUCAACGUGCUGUCACCAGUAGCUGUUACAAUUGAAAAAGGGAUUGGAUUUGAUUAGGUGGAGAGAAUAGGGGUGUUAUCAUUAUCAGUGUGGGUGAGGAUGGAGGAGCAAUGUGGAAAUUCUACAGAAGAGAGCAGUUUAGAUGUCAUAUAGAAAAUCAUGGGAGAUGACAGCCAGAGGGCCAAAAAGCAAAAAUACCCAUGAUUAGCUACUCUCUGAGGGCCUGGUACUCUACCAAGCCUUCUAAAUGAAUUGUUUUAUUUCAUUUUUUCACCAGCUGUGAUGAGGAGGCAGUUAACAUUAAACCCUUUUUUUUCUGGUGAGAAAACAGGCCUGAGGAGGUUAUGUGACUUGCCCGAGCCAAGAAAUGAUAGAGCCCAAACAGGAGCAUUUGUGAGGCCCAGGACAAAAGUAUACAGUUGGAGGUCCAUAUGCAGUAUGUCUCUAAUUAGAAGAUAUACAUCAGUCUAAUGCAUAUGUGUUAAAUGAUACAUGUUCUAUUCUCCUUGAUGAAUAUGCCUUCAUGACAACCUGAAAGACCAGGUUUGAAGCAUAAUUUGAGGACUCUUGAAGUUCUGUGCCAGAAUGUGUUGGCACAUGGAGAGCUACCCUCUGGAUCCUGCGUCCAGUCCUUAUCCAGUUACCUCCCAACCUAUCAAGGAGGAACCUGGCACGUGUGAGUAGACACUCAGCCCCCACAUCCAAGCUGUUUCUUGCUAACAGUUACUCCGAGAACUAAGCCUCAGGUCUAUACCAUUUGCAUCAGACAGUGUAGUUUGUCCUCAACUGAGAUGGACCCAAGGAUGCAACCCAUGAAGGCUCUGUAAAUGAGUUUCAGGGUAUUUUGGCAGGGAAUUCUGGGGUCCCUGAAAAUGGUCUCAGAGAAUUCUGGUGGGCAACUCCUCUGGUAUCUGCAGAAUCCUGACCCUGCACCCUGGUGGGGGGCAGUGGUCAGGGCUCAGGAUAGGGCUUACUCUUACCAGGGGUGAAGGAGUGUUGGAGCCAAGCAUUUGGAGUCGUCUGUGCCUCACGGUGCCAGGGGACAUGCAGGUUCAGUUUCAGUGAUAUGCCCUGAGAGAAAUAGGGGAGGAAAGGCCUGACCUCACAGGCUGAAGAAACCCUCAUUGAAGGUGAGAGAAGAUGUGAAUUAGCUUUUUAAAGAUGAAUGAAUGAACCUUUUCUAAUAUAGUCAGUGACAGGUGUGCUGAGGGAUACUUUGAGUAUCAUUAAAGAAGGACAAAUAAAUACAUGUCCUGAUCUGUAAUCUCAGCCAAGUAAUUUCAAUAUUUUCAAUAAAUAUUUUUCAGGUUUUUACUAUGUGCCAGGCACAGUGCUAAAUGCUGGAGCUACAACCAAGAGCAAAAUAGUCAUGGUCCCUGCCUUCUGGGACAUCGAAAUUGAGAGACAGAGGCCAAUAUUAAUCAGACCAUGGUAUAAACACAUAAUUGUAUCUGCAAUAACUGUGGAAGGGGAGAGGGUAAGAGGGUCUGGUCUAGAAGGUUAGGGAAGGCUGCAGUUAAGAAGUGGCACUAGAGCUGAGUGCCAGAGAAGGCAUGGGUUAACCACAGGCUCAGGAAGGGUGAAUUCCUAGAAUGACUAGCAGAAGCCCAGCCAGGGUGAGAGGGUGAGGCCCAGAGGAGCCAGGGUGCAAGGCCUCAGCCCCAGGGAGGACACAAAGUCUUUGAGGGUCUUUAAGCUGGGAAAUUAUGUGAUCAAAUUUCAUUUGGGGACAAUUUUCCUAGAUUGAAGGAGACUAAGCUUGGAAGCAGCAUGACCAGUGAGUUGGCUGCUCUAGAGUCUUAAACUCCCAUCAAAGUUUCUUAUUUUUAGAGACAGAGGAAAUAAUGGACUUCUGUCUCUGCAGAGUCUACAGGAAUUGCUUUGAAGUCUUAUGUUGUGUUUUGCAUUUGUUUUUGUUGUUAAUUAUUUUUUUGGCCAGAGCUAACACAGGAAAUAAUUAAAAGCAAACAAAAACCAGGGAUAUACUGUGAAAAAUGUUUUCCUUCCAUCCUAAACCCCAAAUAUUCAGCUCUCAGAAGCUACAACUAUCUAUUUUAUUAAUAUCCUUCCAGAGUUAGUCUAUAGAUAAGCAAGCAUAUGUAUAUAUUUAUUCCAACAUUUUAAAUUAUAAUUAACAUAUAUCAAAUCACCUUGUAUACUUUAAAUAUAUUGGUUUUAUUUGUUAAUUAUACCUCAAUAAAGCUGA
Manis javanica (Malayan pangolin) is the source of this 6256-nucleotide long non-coding RNA. RefSeq lists it as uncharacterized. The record is from RefSeq and is a predicted model, not a curated record. NCBI's taxonomy places the organism in Eukaryota, Metazoa, Chordata, Mammalia, Pholidota, Manidae.